Molecule: ribosomal RNA, 402 nt
Filed under: Rhinella lescurei
Lineage: Eukaryota; Metazoa; Chordata; Amphibia; Anura; Bufonidae
Description: partial 16S ribosomal RNA
Rfam family: Bacterial large subunit ribosomal RNA
Source: RNAcentral
CUUGAAUUUUAUAAGAGGUCCAGCCUGCCCAGUGACUCUGUUCAACGGCCGCGGUAUCCUAACCGUGCGAAGGUAGCGUAAUCACUUGUUCUUUAAAUGAGGACUAGUAUGAAUGGCACUACGAGGGUUAUACUGUCUCCUUUUUCUAAUCAGUGAAAUUAAUUUUCCCGUGAAGAAGCGGGAAUAUGACUAUAAGACGAGAAGACCCUAUGGAGCUUUAAACAACCCAGCAAUUACUUCUAAAAAUUUUAAAUUUCAGAAUAUUCAUUUUUUAAGUAAUAUGUCUGCAAGUUUUUGGUUGGGGUGACCAUGGAGAAUAACUUAACCUCCAUAUUGAAUGAACUCCAUUCUAAGCUGAAAAUUACCAAUUAAAGCAUCAACACACUGACAUUUAUUGACCCA